Molecule: ribosomal RNA, 1530 nt
Filed under: Salmonella enterica subsp. enterica
Lineage: Bacteria; Pseudomonadati; Pseudomonadota; Gammaproteobacteria; Enterobacterales; Enterobacteriaceae
Description: bacterial SSU rRNA
Rfam family: Bacterial small subunit ribosomal RNA
Source: RNAcentral
AGAGUUUGAUCAUGGCUCAGAUUGAACGCUGGCGGCAGGCCUAACACAUGCAAGUCGAACGGUAACAGGAAGCAGCUUGCUGCUUCGCUGACGAGUGGCGGACGGGUGAGUAAUGUCUGGGAAACUGCCUGAUGGAGGGGGAUAACUACUGGAAACGGUGGCUAAUACCGCAUAACGUCGCAAGACCAAAGAGGGGGACCUUCGGGCCUCUUGCCAUCAGAUGUGCCCAGAUGGGAUUAGCUAGUUGGUGAGGUAACGGCUCACCAAGGCGACGAUCCCUAGCUGGUCUGAGAGGAUGACCAGCCACACUGGAACUGAGACACGGUCCAGACUCCUACGGGAGGCAGCAGUGGGGAAUAUUGCACAAUGGGCGCAAGCCUGAUGCAGCCAUGCCGCGUGUAUGAAGAAGGCCUUCGGGUUGUAAAGUACUUUCAGCGGGGAGGAAGGUGUUGUGGUUAAUAACCGCAGCAAUUGACGUUACCCGCAGAAGAAGCACCGGCUAACUCCGUGCCAGCAGCCGCGGUAAUACGGAGGGUGCAAGCGUUAAUCGGAAUUACUGGGCGUAAAGCGCACGCAGGCGGUCUGUCAAGUCGGAUGUGAAAUCCCCGGGCUCAACCUGGGAACUGCAUUCGAAACUGGCAGGCUUGAGUCUUGUAGAGGGGGGUAGAAUUCCAGGUGUAGCGGUGAAAUGCGUAGAGAUCUGGAGGAAUACCGGUGGCGAAGGCGGCCCCCUGGACAAAGACUGACGCUCAGGUGCGAAAGCGUGGGGAGCAAACAGGAUUAGAUACCCUGGUAGUCCACGCCGUAAACGAUGUCUACUUGGAGGUUGUGCCCUUGAGGCGUGGCUUCCGGAGCUAACGCGUUAAGUAGACCGCCUGGGGAGUACGGCCGCAAGGUUAAAACUCAAAUGAAUUGACGGGGGCCCGCACAAGCGGUGGAGCAUGUGGUUUAAUUCGAUGCAACGCGAAGAACCUUACCUGGUCUUGACAUCCACAGAACUUUCCAGAGAUGGAUUGGUGCCUUCGGGAACUGUGAGACAGGUGCUGCAUGGCUGUCGUCAGCUCGUGUUGUGAAAUGUUGGGUUAAGUCCCGCAACGAGCGCAACCCUUAUCCUUUGUUGCCAGCGAUUAGGUCGGGAACUCAAAGGAGACUGCCAGUGAUAAACUGGAGGAAGGUGAGGAUGACGUCAAGUCAUCAUGGCCCUUACGACCAGGGCUACACACGUGCUACAAUGGCGCAUACAAAGAGAAGCGACCUCGCGAGAGCAAGCGGACCUCAUAAAGUGCGUCGUAGUCCGGAUUGGAGUCUGCAACUCGACUCCAUGAAGUCGGAAUCGCUAGUAAUCGUGGAUCAGAAUGCCACGGUGAAUACGUUCCCGGGCCUUGUACACACCGCCCGUCACACCAUGGGAGUGGGUUGCAAAAGAAGUAGGUAGCUUAACCUUCGGGAGGGCGCUUACCACUUUGUGAUUCAUGACUGGGGUGAAGUCGUAACAAGGUAACCGUAGGGGAACCUGCGGUUGGAUCACCU